CCUACGGGUGGCAGCAGUGGGGAAUAUUGGACAAUGGGCGAAAGCCUGAUCCAGCCAUGCCGCGUGUGUGAAGAAGGCCUUCGGGUUGUAAAGCACUUUCAGUGGGGAAGAAAGCCUUGGGGCUAAUACCCUCGAGGAAGGACAUCACCCACAGAAGAAGCACCGGCUAACUCCGUGCCAGCAGCCGCGGUAAUACGGAGGGUGCGAGCGUUAAUCGGAAUUACUGGGCGUAAAGCGCGCGUAGGCGGUCUGAUAAGCCGGUUGUGAAAGCCCCGGGCUCAACCUGGGAACGGCAUCCGGAGCUGUCAGGCUAGAGUGCAGGAGAGGAAGGUAGAAUUCCCGGUGUAGCGGUGAAAUGCGUAGAGAUCGGGAGGAAUACCAGUGGCGAAGGCGGCCUUCUGGACUGACACUGACGCUGAGGUGCGAAAGCGUGGGUAGCAAACAGGAUUAGAUACCCGGGUAGUC
Molecule: ribosomal RNA, 465 nt
Filed under: Vreelandella stevensii
Lineage: Bacteria; Pseudomonadati; Pseudomonadota; Gammaproteobacteria; Oceanospirillales; Halomonadaceae
Description: partial 16S ribosomal RNA
Rfam family: Bacterial small subunit ribosomal RNA
Source: RNAcentral